UACGAAGGGGGCUAGCGUUGCUCGGAAUCACUGGGCGUAAAGCGCACGUAGGCGGAUUGUUAAGUCAGGGGUGAAAUCCUGGAGCUCAACUCCAGAACUGCCUUUGAUACUGGCGAUCUCGAGUCCGGGAGAGGUGAGUGGAACUGCGAGUGUAGAGGUGAAAUUCGUAGAUAUUCGCAAGAACACCAGUGGCGAAGGCGGCUCACUGGCCCAGUACUGACGCUGAGGUGCGAAAGCGUGGGGAGCAAACAGG
Molecule: ribosomal RNA, 253 nt
Filed under: uncultured bacterium
Lineage: Bacteria
Description: partial 16S ribosomal RNA
Rfam family: Bacterial small subunit ribosomal RNA
Source: RNAcentral